Long non-coding RNA from Mauremys reevesii (Reeves's turtle), 1460 nucleotides. RefSeq lists it as uncharacterized. Lineage: Eukaryota; Metazoa; Chordata; Testudines; Geoemydidae. The transcript has 3 exons. The record is from RefSeq and is a predicted model, not a curated record.
AGGAGCUGUGAGAAGUUGUGCUGGGGAGAAGGAGACGGAGACACCAUAUCAGGUACAAGGAAGGAGGCCCUGAGGAAUAAUGAGUAGUUACAGUUCUUAAGUCAUCUUUGGAAGCAAACUCCCAGCCCUUUGCACAGAGAGCAAGAUCAAACUGCCUCAUUCAAGCCUCUACAUUAUGAACGGAUGAAUGAUCAUGUGCAUGCACUGACACUUUUUUAAAUAAAUGCUUUUUUUAUACUUUCUAGGCAUGUCAUAGGACAGCCUAAGUGACCGGUCCCCAUUGAAAAUGGCCUUGUCUGACAAAGUGCAGAGAUACUGCCAGAUGAGUUGAUUUUUACACCAGUGUAAUCUCAAGGACUUCAACAAAGUGAUUGACACCAGUGUCACUGCAAGAGGAAUCGGGUCCAGCCAGUCUACCCCUGCAAGAGCAUGUGAAGCCAGCAGCAGGGAUAGAUCCUUUGAUCCAGAAUGGGGAUGAUAUGAUGUACCUGGCAAAUUGGACAGCUGGUGCAGGGGAAAAUGUGGAUUUUUAUCACUAGCUAUUUCCAGUACUAACAGGAUUCUCAGUCCCUGGCCAUAGGACACCUGCUCAGACUAGGCAGGAGAGGCAGACCCAGUGACCACUAGUGCGAUUGCUAGACACACUAUGUACUCCUGGCUACAUGUGAGAGAGAGGACCGAGAUUAUCUCAGCUCUGCGCUGUGACUCCAUGCUGUCAGCACGGUGAGGUCAAUGCUGAGAGCAGCACUGGGCCUGAGUGCGCAAUGCCACCUCGCACCUUUCUGGAGGACUGACCAGUGCUCCCAUUGGGAACUGAGCCCCUCUGUGCAGUCUCUUGGCCACAGGGGCCAAGAGGGCAGAGUGAAGGAAUGAGAGAAAACAGCUAUAAAGUAAUAGAAAGGGAUUCAAGAGACAACAUGGGAAGGAGAGGAACCCAGAAGCAUCCCUGAGGUCAGAGAGCCGUCACUUGGGGUGCAGGCAACUCGCAGAGCCUCCCUGGCUGUCCAUGUGCCUAGGGGCCACAGGGACCUGGCGGCCACUUCCAGGAGCCGCACAGAGCCAGGGAGCCUGCCUUAGCCCUGGGCCCCUGCAGCGCCACUGACUGGACUUUUAACAGCCAAGUCAGCAGUGCCGACCAGAGCCACCAGGGUCCCUUCGACCAGGUGUUCCAGUUGAAAACCAGACGCCUGGCAACCCUAGUUGGGACACUGACCUGGCAUUCUCCGAUAAGGACAACAUUGUGUGUAUGGGGGAGAACAGGAGAACCAGACAAGAACCUGAAAUCCAGCAGCCCAUGGAGACAUAUCCUGCUGCUGCAUGCCUGUUCAAGGCAGGCAGGGUCCAGUGGAAGUAUCAUAAUGCAUACACACAAGGGGGCCGAAUUAAGGUUGAACAGGCAUCCUUAAUCUGGCACUUCAUUAUUUUUGAGUUCCUGACUUUGCAACCUUAACAUUCCUUUA